Molecule: ribosomal RNA, 478 nt
Filed under: uncultured bacterium
Lineage: Bacteria
Description: partial 16S ribosomal RNA
Rfam family: Bacterial small subunit ribosomal RNA
Source: RNAcentral
GAUGAACGCUGGCGGCGUGCUUAACACAUGCAAGUCGAACGGGAAACCUUUUAUUGAAGCUUCGGCAGAUUUAGCUGGUUUCUAGUGGCGGACGGGUGAGUAACGCGUGGGUAACCUGCCCUAUACAGGGGGAUAACAACCAGAAAUGGUUGCUAACACCGCAUAAGCGCACAGGGCCGCAUGGUCCGGUGUGAAAAACUCCGGUGGUAUAGGAUGGACCCGCGUUGGAUUAGCCAGUUGGCAGGGUAACGGCCUACCAAAGCGACGAUCCAUAGCCGGCCUGAGGGGGUGAACGGCCACAUUGGGACUGAGACACGGCCCAGACUCCUACGGGAGGCAGCAGUGGGGAAUAUUGCACAAUGGGGGAAACCCUGAUGCAGCGACGCCGCGUGAAGGAAGAAGUAUCUCGGUAUGUAAACUUCUAUCAGCAGGGAAGAUAGUGACGGUACCUGACGAAGAAGCCCCGGCUAACUACGUG